Molecule: ribosomal RNA, 207 nt
Filed under: uncultured bacterium
Lineage: Bacteria
Description: partial 16S ribosomal RNA
Rfam family: Bacterial small subunit ribosomal RNA
Source: RNAcentral
CACGUAGGCGGAUAUUUAAGUCAGGGGUGAAAUCCCAGAGCUCAACUCUGGAACUGCCUUUGAUACCGGGUAUCUUGAGUAUGGAAGAGGUAAGUGGAAUUCCGAGUGUAGAGGUGAAAUUCGUAGAUAUUCGGAGGAACACCAGUGGCGAAGGCGGCUUACUGGUCCAUUACUGACGCUGGGGUGCGAAAGCGUGGGGAGCAAACA